GCCGGAAUAGCUCAGUUGGGAGAGCGUUAGACUGAAGUUGUUAACGUAACAGUCAUCUAAAGGCCUACGGUUCAAUCCCGGGUUCCGGCA
This 90-nucleotide transfer RNA is filed under the name Dreissena polymorpha. It matches the Rfam family "tRNA". Rfam says of the family: Transfer RNA (tRNA) molecules are approximately 80 nucleotides in length. Their secondary structure includes four short double-helical elements and three loops (D, anti-codon, and T loops). Lineage: Eukaryota; Metazoa; Mollusca; Bivalvia; Myida; Dreissenidae. The record is from Rfam by way of RNAcentral.